Long non-coding RNA from Herpailurus yagouaroundi (jaguarundi), 639 nucleotides. RefSeq lists it as uncharacterized. NCBI's taxonomy places the organism in Eukaryota, Metazoa, Chordata, Mammalia, Carnivora, Felidae. The transcript has 2 exons. The record is from RefSeq and is a predicted model, not a curated record.
CUUUUCUUAGUUUUCUCACCCUAUCUCAUUCUUUUGCACUCCUCCCUCGUUGCAUUGCCUUGAUUCGUUAUAUAGGGCGAACCACAUGAAGUCGCUUAUGCUUGACCGUUUCCGGUCGGUCAGCCUAUUCGCUGUUUGCCAAAGAGCUAGCUAGCUACGGCUCGAUUUUGAAACGUAUAUGAGGUCAAAGCAGUAGACCUAAGAGUUGGAGUAUGAAGAAGUAAUGUUUUUAAAAUGCAUGCAUUUUCUUGUUUGUAAAUUACUCCUCAAAGGUGUGGAUUCAAAGGAAGUGACGCUUUCUAAUUGACUUGACUCGGAGAGGUUGUCAGAUCAGACCUGUUCCCUGGCAAAAUAUGGUUAAAUAUCUUGUAGUUGUCUUCCCUAAAAUCAGAGUUCUUUGGACAGUGAUGGUUAGGUUAGUUGGUUAGGUUUGACUUAGCUAGUCAUUAGUUUUCUGGGAUGUUCUGGAGUUAAUUAUCAUUAAGGUGUUUCCACAGAGAGAGGUGAUUUCAAACAAACUAAUGAAGUUAAGGGCAACUGCGCAAAAUUUUGUAAAUACAAAGGACACCAUGAACCUAAUCAGCAAUAUCAGUGUUGAUGACGCUUGAUUUGGAAACAUUACCAGAAAAAAAGAAAAAA